AGAGUUUGAUCAUGGCUCAGGACGAACGCUGGCGGCGUGCCUAAUACAUGCAAGUCGAGCGGACUGAUGGGUGCUUGCACCCUGAAGUUAGCGGCGGACGGGUGAGUAACACGUGGGGAACCUGCCUUGUAAGUCUGGGAUAACACCGGGAAACCGGUGCUAAUACCGGAUGUCCCGUUCCGGCACCUGCCGGAGAGGGAAAAGGCGGCCUUUGGCUAGCUCGCACAGAGGGGCCCGCGGCGCAUUAGUUAGUUGGCAGGGUAACGGCCUCCCAAGGCGAUGAUGCGUAGCCGACCUGAGAGGGUGAUCGGCCACACUGGGACUGAGACACGGCCCAGACUCCUACGGGAGGCAGCAGUAGGGAAUCAUCCGCAAUGGACGAAAGUCUGACGGUGCAACGCCGCGUGAGUGAUGAAGGUUUUCGGAUCGUAAAGCUCUGUUGUGAGGGAAGAAUAGGUGGGGAGUGAAUAUGCCGGCAUCUGUGACGGUACCUCACCAGAAAGCCCCGGCUAACUACGUGCCAGCACCCGCGGUAAUACGUAGGUGGCAAGCGUUGUCCGGAAUUAUUGGGCGUAAAGGGCACGCAGGCGGUCUCGCCAGUCUGAUGUGAAAGCCCGUGGCUCCACCCCGGAAUGGUCAUUGGAAACUGGCAGACUUGAGUACAGAAGAGGAGAGUGGAAUUCCCCGUGUAGCGGUGAAAUGGGUAGAGAUGUGGAGGAACACCAGUGGCGAAGGCGACUCUCUGGUCUGUGAUUGACGCUGAGGUGGGAAAGCGUGGGGAGCGAACAGGAUUAGAUACCCCGGUAGCCACGCCCGUAAACGUUGAGUGGUAGGUGUUAGGGGUUUCGAUACCCGUAGUGCCGAAGCAAACGCAUUAAGCACUCCGGCUGGGGAGUACGACCGCAAGGUUGAAACUCAAAGGAAUUGACGGGGGCCCGCACAAGCGGUGGAGCAUGUGGUUUAAUUCGACGCAACGCGAAGAACCUUACCAGGUCCUGACAUCCUUUGACCCCUCUGGAAACAAAGCUUUCCCUUCGGGGGACAGAGUGACAGGUGGUGCAUGGUUGUCGUCAGCUCGUGUCGUGAGAUGUUGGGUUAAGUCCCGCAACCAGCGCAACCCCUGAACUUAGUUGCCAGCAUUGAGUUGGGCACUCCAAGGUGACUGCCGGUGACAACCCGGAGGAAGGUGGGCAUGACGUCAAAUCAUCAUGCCCCUUAUGACCUGGGCUACACACGUGCUACAAUGGACGGUACAAAGGGCUGCCAAACCGUGAGGUGGAGCGAAUCCUAUAAAGCCGUUCUCAGUUCGGAUUGUAGGCUGCAACUCGCCUGCAUGAAGCUGGAAUCGCUAGUAAUCGCGGAUCAGAAUGCCGCGGUGAAUACGUUCCCGGGCCUUGUACACACCGCCCGUCACACCACGAGAGCCAGCAACACCCGUAGUCGGUGAGGCAACCGUUUGGAGCCAGCCGCCGAAGGUGGGGCAGAUGAUUGGGGUGAAGUCGUAACAAGGUAACC
RNAcentral lists this ribosomal RNA (1515 nucleotides) under Alkalihalophilus pseudofirmus. RNAcentral describes it as "bacterial SSU rRNA". It matches the Rfam family "Bacterial small subunit ribosomal RNA". Lineage: Bacteria; Bacillati; Bacillota; Bacilli; Caryophanales; Bacillaceae. The record is from RNAcentral.